Lonchura striata (white-rumped munia) is the source of this 211-nucleotide non-coding RNA. NCBI's taxonomy places the organism in Eukaryota, Metazoa, Chordata, Aves, Passeriformes, Estrildidae. The record is from RefSeq and is a predicted model, not a curated record.
CUUUCAUUAUAGGGGAAAAUACAGAAAUUGGAGGAGCAGAAUACAACAUGAAAAGCUAUAGCGCUGGAAAAAGGCCAGCUGGUUCAACAUGCCAGUCCUUUUAAAGCAGCACAGUUCUGCGUUUGUAUUUGUUAAUUAAAUACUGACAAGGGAAAAACAGCAAGUGCAGCAAUAUUGUGUGUUUGUGGGCUUUCAGAACAGCCCCUCUGGG